This is a long non-coding RNA of Trachemys scripta elegans, 928 nucleotides long. RefSeq lists it as uncharacterized. The record is from RefSeq and is a predicted model, not a curated record. NCBI's taxonomy places the organism in Eukaryota, Metazoa, Chordata, Testudines, Emydidae. The transcript is spliced from 5 exons.
GCUGAAAAUGGAAUUGAUGAGCUGGGAGAAAACAAUUGCUUUGGACCAAUGCCAUGUUCCAGAUAUGGGGAGCAAUGAGCUGAUGGUGGAGAGGCUGGAGACUGACUCCCCAACCCCACAAAACAAUUGGGGCUGAAGUGGACAAACAAAGUAACUGAAUCUUGAAAAUGGGCCGAAAUGAAACAUCCCGGACCUGAGCACCCAAGACAGUACGGUAAGGGUCUCCAGGUGGAGUUGGGAAGCCCGGGAGCCCAUGCUGGAACACAAGGAAGUUGGGGACAGGAACUCUGAAAACAAAAUUGGCUGGUUUUGCUUCUCCCUCCUCACCCUGGAUCCCUUAUAGGAAUCACAAAUGGUGUGUGUGUGGGAUAUCAGACUUGACUACCCUUUGUGGAAUCCUAUGCGUAAGGUGAAUUCCCUUUAUGUAAUGGAGAUCUGCCUACCAGACUACAAGUGCAUUAGCAGUGCAAACCAUGCUAUGCUGCCAGAAACCAAGGGGACUCUUCUGACAGAAGAAGAAGAAGAUGAAAAGUUGAACUGUGAAACAUUUCAGAACUGGGCUUGCUGCAGUUCCAAGGAAGCAUUCACCCACAUGGGCAGCUCCAAGUAACAGCUCAUUUCUCUGGACUACAAUUCUGAGAAGUGUUGAAUCCCCUCUGAGCUACAGGGACAGUUUAUGUAAAGAGGUUUAGCAUGGUGAGUGGAGUAUACAUACACACAGUGAUACAGACACCAUAGAGCCCUGCACAAAAACCUUGAACAUAACAAACACUUUUUUUCCCUCAGGCAAAUGUCUAGCCCUUGGGUUUUUUGCCAUUUUCAGAGGAAGUUACAUGAAAAGACAGAAGAAAGGGCCAGGAAAUGUUCGUCAAUGUUUUUGUGUAAAAUAAAUAAAUAAAUAAAUAAAAUCUUAAUUACGAUUGAUUCA